UCCCUGAUAGCUCAGUUGGUAAAGAAUCUGCCUGCAAUGCAGGAGACCUUGGUUCAAUUCCUGUCAGGAAG
RNAcentral lists this transfer RNA (71 nucleotides) under Bos taurus (domestic cattle). It matches the Rfam family "tRNA". Rfam says of the family: Transfer RNA (tRNA) molecules are approximately 80 nucleotides in length. Their secondary structure includes four short double-helical elements and three loops (D, anti-codon, and T loops). Further hydrogen bonds mediate the characteristic L-shaped molecular structure. tRNAs have two regions of fundamental functional importance: the anti-codon, which is responsible for specific mRNA codon recognition, and the 3' end, to which the tRNAs corresponding amino acid is attached (by aminoacyl-tRNA synthetases). tRNAs cope with the degeneracy of the genetic code in two manners: having more than one tRNA (with a specific anti-codon) for a particular amino acid; and 'wobble' base-pairing, i.e. permitting non-standard base-pairing at the 3rd anti-codon position. RNAcentral also lists the same sequence under 5 other names. The record is from Rfam by way of RNAcentral. Lineage: Eukaryota; Metazoa; Chordata; Mammalia; Artiodactyla; Bovidae.